AGUGAACGCUGGCGGUAGGCCUAACACAUGCAAGUCGAACGGCAGCACAGUAAGAGCUUGCUCUUACGGGUGGCGAGUGGCGGACGGGUGAGGAAUACAUCGGAAUCUACUUUUUCGUGGGGGAUAACGUAGGGAAACUUACGCUAAUACCGCAUACGACCUACGGGUGAAAGCAGGGGUUCUUCGGACCUUGCGCGAUUGAAUGAGCCGAUGUCGGAUUAGCUAGUUGGCGGGGUAAAGGCCCACCAAGGCGACGAUCCGUAGCUGGUCUGAGAGGAUGAUCAGCCACACUGGAACUGAGACACGGUCCAGACUCCUACGGGAGGCAGCAGUGGGGAAUAUUGGACAAUGGGCGCAAGCCGGAUCCAGCCAUACCGCGUGGGUGAAGAAGGCCUUCGGGUUGUAAAGCCCUUUUGUUGGGAAAGAAAAGCAGCAGGUUAAUACCCCGCUGUUCUGACGGUACCCAAAGAAUAAGCACCGGCUAACUUCGUG
This 492-nucleotide ribosomal RNA is filed under the name uncultured bacterium. Its description in RNAcentral is "partial 16S ribosomal RNA". It matches the Rfam family "Bacterial small subunit ribosomal RNA", at positions 29 to 507 of the family's 1533-position model. The record is from RNAcentral.